RNAcentral lists this ribosomal RNA (483 nucleotides) under uncultured bacterium. Its description in RNAcentral is "bacterial SSU rRNA". It matches the Rfam family "Bacterial small subunit ribosomal RNA", at positions 17 to 518 of the family's 1533-position model. The record is from RNAcentral.
UCCUGGCUUAGGACGAACGCUGGCGGCGUGCCUAACACAUGCAAGUCGAGCGAGGAGAUCCUCGGGAUGAUCCUAGCGGCGGACGGGUGAGUAACACGUGGGCAACCUGCCUCAUAGAGAGGAAUAGCCUUCCGAAAGGGAGAUUAAUACCUCAUAACAUUGCAGUUUCGCAUGGAACAGCAAUUAAAGGAGCAAUCCGCUAUGAGAUGGGCCCGCGGCGCAUUAGCUAGUUGGUGAGGUAACGGCUCACCAAGGCGACGAUGCGUAGCCGACCUGAGAGGGUGAUCGGCCACAUUGGGACUGAGACACGGCCCAGACUCCUACGGGAGGCAGCAGUGGGGAAUAUUGCACAAUGGGGGAAACCCUGAUGCCAGCAACGCCGCGUGAGUGAUGACGGCCUUCGGGUUGUAAAGCUCUGUCUUCAGGGACGAUAAUGACGGUACCUGAGGAGGAAGCCACGGCUAACUACGUGCCAGCCGCCGC